This 376-nucleotide ribosomal RNA is filed under the name uncultured bacterium. RNAcentral's name for it is "bacterial SSU rRNA". It matches the Rfam family "Bacterial small subunit ribosomal RNA", at positions 524 to 898 of the family's 1533-position model. The record is from RNAcentral.
UACAGAGGGUGCGAACGUUGCUCGGAAUUACUGGGCGUAAAGCGCAUGUAGGCGGAUCCAUAAGUCGGGCGUGAAAUCCCCAGGCUCAACCUGGGAACUGCGUUCGAAACUGUAGGUCUAGAGUGUCGGAGAGGAUGGCGGAAUUCCUGGUGUAGAGGUGAAAUUCGUAGAUAUCAGGAGGAACACCGGUGGCGAAGGCGGCCAUCUGGACGACAACUGACGCUGAGAUGCGAAAGCGUGGGGAGCAAACAGGAUUAGAUACCCUGGUAGUCCACGCCGUAAACGAUGGGUGCUAGGUGUCUCGGGUAUUGACCCCUGAGGUGCCGUAGCUAACGCGUUAAGCACCCCGCCUGGGAAGUACGGUCGCAAGACUAAA